Long non-coding RNA from Hemibagrus wyckioides, 336 nucleotides. RefSeq lists it as uncharacterized. The transcript has 3 exons. The record is from RefSeq and is a predicted model, not a curated record. NCBI's taxonomy places the organism in Eukaryota, Metazoa, Chordata, Actinopteri, Siluriformes, Bagridae.
GUAGCUCAUUAGAAAUCAUGAGAGUUUAAUCUUCAAGGGAAAGUGAUGAUGACUAUUCAUUCGGAUCUCCAGAGUGUCCAGGUGCAGCUGUUGGGGUCAGCAAACAGCAAAGGCCUGAAGUUAUUGAGCAGAUCUGAAAUGUAGGAGGAACCAUGGGACAUUUUUUAGACAAUUUGAUUGAACUGCCUCGGUGUGUCACAGAGGAAGGAGGCAGAAUGCUCCUCAGAUAUCUGACUGAGGAAGAGCACAGAGGGAAUUUUUUCUAAGAACUGCUUUACUAGCAUUACAAAGUUUUAGCAUUUUAUUAUAACAUUGUAAGUCUAUGAAAUCUUCAAC